GUAAAGGGUGCGUAGGCGUCCCGCCCCGUUUCUCGUUAAAGCCCAGAGCUCAACUCUGGUACGGCGAGUAAUACAGGCGGGAUCGAGGGUGCGAGAGGUGUACGGAACCCAUGGUGUAGAGGUGAAAUUCGUUGAUAUCAUGAGGAACGCCAAAGGCGAAGGCAGUACACUGGCGCAUUCCUGACGCUGAGGCACGACAGCCAGGGGAGAGAAGUGGAUUAGAUACCCACGUAUUCCUAGCCAUAAACGAUGUCCGCUAGCUUUUGGGAGUAUCGACCCUCUCAGAGGCGAAGCUAACGCGUUAAGCGGACCGCCUGGGUAGUACGGUCGCAAGACUAAAACUCAAAGGAAUAGACGGGGGCUUGCACAAGCAGUGGAGCAUGUGGUUUAAUUCGACGAUAAGCGAAGAACCUUACCGGGGUUAGACACCCAACUGUGCCCUGAUGGAAACAUCGGGGGUCUCCGAGAUCGUUGGGCAGGUGUUGCAUGGCCGUCGUCAGCUCGUGGCUUGAGCUGUUCCCUUAAGUGGGGCAACGAGCGCAACCCUCAUUGCCUGUUAUACGUGUCAGGCGAGACCGCCCGGUCUUCCGGGAGGAAGGAGGGGAUGACGCCAGGUCAGCAUGACCCUAGACACCCCGGGCGACACACAUGCUACAAUGGCAGGGACAACGGGACGCGAUGCCGCAAGGCGGAGCUAAUCCUUAGAAACCCUGCCCCAGUUCGGAUUGAGGUCUGCAACCCGACCUCAUGAAGUUGGAAUUGCUAGUAAUC
RNAcentral lists this ribosomal RNA (771 nucleotides) under uncultured bacterium. RNAcentral's name for it is "bacterial SSU rRNA". It matches the Rfam family "Bacterial small subunit ribosomal RNA", at positions 560 to 1343 of the family's 1533-position model. The record is from RNAcentral.